CGGGAUGUAGCGCAGUGGUAGCGCACCAGUUUCGGGUACUGGAGGUCGCGGGUUCAAAUCCCGCCAUCCCGA
Molecule: transfer RNA, 72 nt
Filed under: Candidatus Parcubacteria bacterium
Lineage: Bacteria; Candidatus Parcubacteria
Description: tRNA-Pro
Rfam family: tRNA
About the family: Transfer RNA (tRNA) molecules are approximately 80 nucleotides in length.
Source: RNAcentral